UGGGGAAUAUUGCGCAAUGGGCGAAAGCCUGACGCAGCAACGCCGUGUGAGUGAUGAAGGCCCUCGGGUCGUAAAGCUCUGUCAGCAGGGAAGAUGGGAGAUGAGUUUAAUAAAUUCAUUUUUUGACGGUACCUGCAAAGGAAGCACCGGCUAACUCUGUGCCAGCAGCCGCGGUAAUACAGAGGGUGCAAGCGUUGUUCGGAAUUAUUGGGCGUAAAGCGCGCGUAGGCGGCUACAUAAGUCUGACGUGAAAGCCCGGGGCUCAACCCCGGAAGUGCAUCGGAAACUGUGUAGCUAGAGUCCCGGAGAGGAUGGUGGAAUUCCAGGUGUAGAGGUGAAAUUCGUAGAUAUCUGGAGGAACAUCAGUGGCGAAGGCGGCCAUCUGGACGGUGACUGACGCUGAGGUGCGAAAGCGUGGGGAGCGAACAGG
Molecule: ribosomal RNA, 430 nt
Filed under: uncultured bacterium
Lineage: Bacteria
Description: bacterial SSU rRNA
Rfam family: Bacterial small subunit ribosomal RNA
Source: RNAcentral